UGGGGAAUAUUGCACAAUGGAGGAAACUCUGAUGCAGCGACGCCGCGUGAGUGAAGAAGGUCUUCGGAUCGUAAAACUCUGUCCUUGGUGACGAAAAAAAUGACGGUAGCCAAGGAGGAAGCCCCGGCUAACUACGUGCCAGCAGCCGCGGUAAUACGUAGGGGGCGAGCGUUGUCCGGAUUUACUGGGCGUAAAGGGUGAGUAGGCGGUAAUAUGUGUCAGAUGUAAAAGGCUAUGGCUUAACCAUAGUUGGCAUUUGAAACUGUAUUACUUGAGUGCAGGAGAGGUAAGUGGAAUUCCUAGUGUGGCGGUGAAAUGCGUAGAUAUUAGGAGGAACACCAGUGGCGAAGGCGACUUACUGGACUGUAACUGACGCUGAGUCACGAAAGCGUGGUAGCAAACA
This 403-nucleotide ribosomal RNA is filed under the name uncultured bacterium. Its description in RNAcentral is "bacterial SSU rRNA". It matches the Rfam family "Bacterial small subunit ribosomal RNA", at positions 355 to 774 of the family's 1533-position model. The record is from RNAcentral.